Molecule: non-coding RNA, 306 nt
Filed under: Nosema bombycis CQ1
Lineage: Eukaryota; Fungi; Microsporidia; Nosematidae
Description: Eukaryotic large subunit ribosomal RNA
Rfam family: Eukaryotic large subunit ribosomal RNA
Source: Rfam by way of RNAcentral
AAUUCUAAUUUAUUUUAGGAUAACCCUUUGAACUUAAGCAUAUCAGUAAAAGGAGGAAAAGAAACUAACAAGGAUUUCUUUAGUAGUGGCGAAUGAACAAGAAAGAACUCAUUAUGUAAUCUAUAUUCAUUAUAGAGAUGUUAAAAGUUAUUGUUGUCAUUCAAAUCAUAGAUACAUUAAAUUGUAGUAAAUGAUGACGAUAAAUAAACAAUGUAGAGUACGAUUGCUUGGUAGUGCAAUUGGAAUAUAGAUAGAAUAAAUAUUUAAAGUUAAAUAUAAUGGGGAUCCUCUAGAUCGACUGCAGCA